UACGGAGGGGGCAAGCGUUGUUCGGAAUUACUGGGCGUAAAGGGCUCGUAGGCGGCCAGCUAAGUCAGACGUGAAAUCCCCAGGCUCAACCUGGGAACUGCGUCUGAUACUGGAUGGCUUGAAUCCGGGAGAGGGAUGCAGAAUUCCAGGUGUAGCGGUGAAAUGCGUAGAUAUCUGGAGGAAUACCGGUGGCGAAGGCGGCAUCCUGGACCGGCAUUGACGCUGAGGAGCGAAAGCCAGGGGAGCAAACGGG
Molecule: ribosomal RNA, 253 nt
Filed under: uncultured bacterium
Lineage: Bacteria
Description: partial 16S ribosomal RNA
Rfam family: Bacterial small subunit ribosomal RNA
Source: RNAcentral